Molecule: transfer RNA, 76 nt
Filed under: Leeia speluncae
Lineage: Bacteria; Pseudomonadati; Pseudomonadota; Betaproteobacteria; Neisseriales; Leeiaceae
Description: tRNA-Thr
Rfam family: tRNA
About the family: Transfer RNA (tRNA) molecules are approximately 80 nucleotides in length.
Source: RNAcentral
GCCGGUUUAGCUCAGCAGGUAGAGCAGCGCUCUUGUAAAGCGAAGGUCAGUGGUUCGAUUCCUCUAACCGGCACCA